RNAcentral lists this long non-coding RNA (626 nucleotides) under Phasianus colchicus (ring-necked pheasant). RNAcentral describes it as "lncRNA (ENSPCLG00000005629.1)". Lineage: Eukaryota; Metazoa; Chordata; Aves; Galliformes; Phasianidae. The record is from RNAcentral.
GUAAGAGACGAGAAGCCCAACAAGAUUUCAAUUCUUAGAGGUUGUAUGGGAAGAACAAGUGCCUUCUCCAUGUCUGUGGCAGUGUGAAGGACGAGAACGAACACAAAGAUCCUGAGGGACUGUGCUUUCCCUGGAGCUGGCUGUCAGUGUGAGGUGCCAAAACAGGAAGAGUAAUGAAAGUGUACUCAUCCUAUCUCACAUGUCAGGCAGAGGAAUGUGCAGCAGAAGGAGAUGAUGGGCAAGAGUGUUCUGGGGAAGGAUACGGAUAUCUGCUUCUGCUCUGCCACAUCCAUUUGAUCUGCAGUUGUCUUUGUCCCUUUAUUGUGGAAGACCUUCUUUCCAGAUUUAUUGCCAGCUGAUGAUAGGAUGCUUCUUCCACAUACAAACAGCUUGGGGUAAAAUUUCUCAGCCCAACACAGUGGCAAAGGAUGAAUUUUGUGGAAUCUUUCAGCUGAGGUGAAGAAGGGAUUGUGAGGAGCAUUUCCAUGUUGAGGGAACUAAAGGCUGGAUCAGAACAAGUUGUGUUGUAAUAAGCUUGGCGAUGCCUUGACAGUUUUGCAGAGCUGUUUAUAAGGUAUAUACAUACUUCAAAGACUGAACAUGGUCUGAGGGUGGGAAUUUGUAUG